CCCGACUACAUGAAGCUGGAAUCGCUAGUAAUCGCGGAUCAGAAUGCCGCGGUGAAUACGUUCCCGGGUCUUGUACACACCGCCCGUCACACCAUGGGAGUCGGAAAUGCCCGAAGUCGGUGACCUAACUGAAAGGAAGGAGCCGCCGAAGGCAGGUCUGGUGACUGGGGUGAAGUCGUAACAAGGUAUC
Molecule: ribosomal RNA, 190 nt
Filed under: uncultured bacterium
Lineage: Bacteria
Description: partial 16S ribosomal RNA
Rfam family: Bacterial small subunit ribosomal RNA
Source: RNAcentral